Molecule: ribosomal RNA, 497 nt
Filed under: uncultured bacterium
Lineage: Bacteria
Description: partial 16S ribosomal RNA
Rfam family: Bacterial small subunit ribosomal RNA
Source: RNAcentral
GAUGAACGCUGGCGGCGUGCCUAAUACAUGCGAGUCGAGCGAACAGAUGAGGAGCUUGCUCCUCUGACGUUAGCGGCGGACGGGUGAGUAACACGUGGAUAACCUACCUAUAAGACUGGGAUAACUUCGGGAAACCGGAGCUAAUACCGGAUAAUAUAUUGAACCGCAUGGUUCAAUAGUGAAAGACGGUUUUGCUGUCACUUAUAGAUGGAUCCGCGCCGCAUUAGCUAGUUGGUAAGGUAACGGCUUACCAAGGCAACGAUGCGUAGCCGACCUGAGAGGGUGAUCGGCCACACUGGAACUGAGACACGGUCCAGACUCCUACGGGAGGCAGCAGUAGGGAAUCUUCCGCAAUGGGCGAAAGCCUGACGGAGCAACGCCGCGUGAGUGAUGAAGGUCCUCGGAUCGUAAAACUCUGUUAUUAGGGAAGAACAAAUGUGUAAGUAACUAUGCACGUCUUGACGGUACCUAAUCAGAAAGCCACGGCUAACUACGUG